UGCUAGGGUUUACUGACUUGAGAGU
Molecule: non-coding RNA, 25 nt
Filed under: Rattus norvegicus (Norway rat)
Lineage: Eukaryota; Metazoa; Chordata; Mammalia; Rodentia; Muridae
Source: RNAcentral